This 459-nucleotide ribosomal RNA is filed under the name Triticum aestivum (bread wheat). Its description in RNAcentral is "partial small subunit ribosomal RNA". Lineage: Eukaryota; Viridiplantae; Streptophyta; Magnoliopsida; Poales; Poaceae. The record is from RNAcentral.
AUGGGCAUCACCGGCCAACCUAGCCACCGACAUGAAACAGAAUCCACGACGGCACAUGCUAACAGAUGGCCACAUGCGCAAGCAACCGACAGCUUCGACUUUGACGACGAAAAAGGAAGGGAAAUAUGCAGGACUUGCGCCAACCGUGCCCUCCGCAAACGACUGCCGAGUGUCUGUCAUCGUCACCACCUGAACUCGCUCCAACGCAGCUCCGACUUCAAAGCAACCAAGCAACCACGGAAGAGCACCUUGGACACGUCGGAAAGAACCGACUACCGAAGACCACGCCGCGACCCAAGCUCCUCUCGACGCCAUCAUCGUUGCCAAACAGAAACCAGCGCACCGCCUCAGCAAACCAGGCGGCGAAGAUGCCGUCAUCGACGGCAAAGAUGCCAUAGUGUUGAGAAUUCCCGGGUCUACAACCGACCGGUCGCCACCCUACUAUCUCCUAGCUACUAG